UAGUCCAUGCCGUAAACGUUGGGCACUAGGUGUGGGGUCUAUUCAACGGAUUCCGUGCCGCAGCUAACGCAUUAAGUGCCCCGCCUGGGGAGUACGGCCGCAAGGUUAAAACUCAAAGGAAUUGACGGGGCCCCGCACAAGCGGUGGAGCAUGUGGUUUAAUUCGAUGCAACGCGAAGAACCUUACCCAGGUUUGACAUGUACCUGAUUGCUGUGGAAACACAGUUUCUCUUCGGAGCGGGUAUGCAGGUGCUGCAUGGCUGUCGUCAGCUCGUGUCGUGAGAUGUUGGGUUAAGUCCCGCAACGAGCGCAACCCUUGUCCCUAGUUGCUAACAAGUAAAGUUGAGCACUCUAUGGAGACUGCCGUCGACAAGACGGAGGAAGGUGGGGAUGACGCCAAGUCCUCAUGGGUCCUUACGCCUGGGGGCUACACACGUGCUACAAUGGGGCAAUACAAAGGGUCGCAAUGCCGCGAGGGUGGGAGCCAAUCCCAAAAAGUUGU
This 501-nucleotide ribosomal RNA is filed under the name uncultured bacterium. Its description in RNAcentral is "bacterial SSU rRNA". It matches the Rfam family "Bacterial small subunit ribosomal RNA", at positions 791 to 1285 of the family's 1533-position model. The record is from RNAcentral.